RNAcentral lists this ribosomal RNA (275 nucleotides) under Salmonella enterica subsp. enterica serovar Virchow. RNAcentral describes it as "partial 23S ribosomal RNA". It matches the Rfam family "Bacterial large subunit ribosomal RNA", at positions 161 to 474 of the family's 2925-position model. Lineage: Bacteria; Pseudomonadati; Pseudomonadota; Gammaproteobacteria; Enterobacterales; Enterobacteriaceae. RNAcentral also lists the same sequence under 1 other name. The record is from RNAcentral.
AAUCCAUAGGUUAAUGAGGCGAACCGGGGGAACUGAAACAUCUAAGUACCCCGAGGAAAAGAAAUCAACCGAGAUUCCCCCAGUAGCGGCGAGCGAACGGGGAGGAGCCCAGAGCCUGAAUCAGCAUGUGUGUUAGUGGAAGCGUCUGGAAAGGCGCGCGAUACAGGGUGACAGCCCCGUACACAAAAGCGCAUGUGCUGUGAGCUCGAUGAGUAGGGCGGGACACGUGGUAUCCUGUCUGAAUAUGGGGGGACCAUCCUCCAAGGCUAAAUACU